AUGAAGGCGGCUGGUCCAUGCUUAACCGUCGUCGUCGGCGCGGUCAGGCGGCCAGUCAACCUCCGGGUCCAGCAGGUCCUCCUCCGGGGCCAGCAGGUCCUCCUCCGGGGGUUGCGUGCGGGAGUGGAGAGCCAUUCAGCCACUGAGGGAAACCUUUCGUUAGAGCGAGCGCUGAGCAACAGGUGGCUCGGUGGAACCAGACCGCUGAUACCUAAUUAUCACUCUUUUUCAGACACAAAUGUAGACAAACUUUUAAAGAAAUGAAAUUCUCUCACAUUCAUUGGCUGACAUUACAUGCUAAUUUGGGAAUUGUUUGCCUUCCAUAUCUCUGGGGGUCCUUUUGGUUGCGUCUGUUUUACUGCACAUUUACUAGCCUGUCUGCAAAAAACUUUCUUAGGUGUGAUCGGCUCCUCUGAAGCCUGCUGCUCACUUCCAACCUCUCCUCGUACCUCAAUACCUCAGCAGUUCUGCGGAGGGCGCUACUGCGCCUCUUGCUGUAUCACAAUCACGUUUCAUGCACUUUAAUACAUUGUAUUACAUUUGUUUUUACAUUCAACGUAAAGUGUAAAGUGUUUUAAUAUUUUUGUAGGCCUUUAUGACUAGCCUAAACUUUGACUCUGGUUAGU
This 626-nucleotide long non-coding RNA is filed under the name Gadus morhua (Atlantic cod). Its description in RNAcentral is "lncRNA (ENSGMOG00000035407.1)". Lineage: Eukaryota; Metazoa; Chordata; Actinopteri; Gadiformes; Gadidae. The record is from RNAcentral.